UACAGAGGGUGCGAGCGUUAAUCGGAAUUACUGGGCGUAAAGCGUGCGUAGACGGUAGCGUAAGUCAGGUGUGAAAGCCCUGGGCUCAACCCAGGAAGUGCACUUGAAACUGACAGGCUUGAGUAUGGAAGAGGGUCGCGGAAUUCCCGGUGUAGAGGUGAAAUUCGUAGAUAUUCGGAAGAACACCAGUGGCGAAGGCGACUUACUGGACACAUAUUGACGCUGAGGUGCGAAAGCGUGGGGAGCAAACAGG
Molecule: ribosomal RNA, 253 nt
Filed under: uncultured bacterium
Lineage: Bacteria
Description: partial 16S ribosomal RNA
Rfam family: Bacterial small subunit ribosomal RNA
Source: RNAcentral